UACGGAGGGGGCGAGCGUUAUUCGGAAUUAUUGGGCGUAAAGGGCGCGUAGGCGGCUGUACAAGUCAAAGGUGAAAUCCCUCGGCUCAACUGAGGAACUGCCUUUGAAACUGUACGGCUUGAGGCCGGGAGGGGGUAGCGGAAUUCCCAGUGUAGCGGUGAAAUGCGUAGAUACUGGGAGGACACCAGUGGCGAAGGCGGCUACCUGG
Molecule: ribosomal RNA, 208 nt
Filed under: uncultured bacterium
Lineage: Bacteria
Description: partial 16S ribosomal RNA
Rfam family: Bacterial small subunit ribosomal RNA
Source: RNAcentral